RNAcentral lists this long non-coding RNA (213 nucleotides) under Gossypium raimondii (Peruvian cotton). Its description in RNAcentral is "long non-coding RNA (GRAI_LNC010500)". The record is from RNAcentral. Lineage: Eukaryota; Viridiplantae; Streptophyta; Magnoliopsida; Malvales; Malvaceae.
AGGGGGUGAAGGGGAGAUGGAGAAAGAGGGGUCGGGGUGGUUGCGUGGUCGGUGCUUGUGAGGAAGAGGGGUGACAGUGAAUUUGCAAGGGGAAGGUUGACAGCGGCUAGGGUUAAGGGUUGAAAAUUUAGGGAAGAUGAAAGUAAAAAGAAGUUAGGGUUUGGGGGUUAAAAAGGGGGAUACGGUGGUGUAAGGGCCCGUGUUGGGCCACAC